Molecule: ribosomal RNA, 499 nt
Filed under: uncultured bacterium
Lineage: Bacteria
Description: partial 16S ribosomal RNA
Rfam family: Bacterial small subunit ribosomal RNA
Source: RNAcentral
AUUGAACGCUGGCGGCAGGCCUAACACAUGCAAGUCGAGCGGUAGAGAGAAGCUUGCUUCUCUUGAGAGCGGCGGACGGGUGAGUAUGCCUAGGAAUCUGCCUGGUAGUGGGGGAUAACGUUCGGAAACGGACGCUAAUACCGCAUACGUCCUACGGGAGAAAGCAGGGGACCUUCGGGCCUUGCGCUAUCAGAUGAGCCUAGGUCGGAUUAGCUAGUUGGUGAGGUAAUGGCUCACCAAGGCGACGAUCCGUAACUGGUCUGAGAGGAUGAUCAGUCACACUGGAACUGAGACACGGUCCAGACUCCUACGGGAGGCAGCAGUGGGGAAUAUUGGACAAUGGGCGAAAGCCUGAUCCAGCCAUGCCGCGUGUGUGAAGAAGGUCUUCGGAUUGUAAAGCAUUUUAAGUUGGGAGGAAGGGCAGUUACCUAAUACGUAAUUGUUUUGACGUUACCGACAGAAUAAGCACCGGCUAACUCUGUGCCAGCAGCCGCCGUAA